Erythranthe guttata (spotted monkey flower) is the source of this 392-nucleotide non-coding RNA. NCBI's taxonomy places the organism in Eukaryota, Viridiplantae, Streptophyta, Magnoliopsida, Lamiales, Phrymaceae. The record is from RefSeq and is a predicted model, not a curated record.
GCUCUUGAUGUUGUGUUCAUUGAAAACGACAAGGACGAGGUUGUGGAUGCGUCAGAUAGUGAUGGUUAUCUUUCCGAGGUUUUAAUUCCCCCACUCGAUUCUUGAUUUUUUCCAUUUCAGUAUGUUUUAUUUUUGGAUAUUGAUUUAAAAUCUCUAAUCAGGACUUGAGCUUCCCGAUUGUUGGGGAAAGUGAGACUGCGAAAACUCUAGAAGAUGAAAUUGCUACUACUACCUAUUCAACUCAAAAUAAGAAAAUUCAUGCCGAUGUUUCCACUGCGAAGAAGAAAUUGGAUAAGUUGAAAAAGAAGGAUCCAGAAUUCAGCAAGUUCUUAGAAAGUUUCAAGAACAGUGCUGAAUCGUUUCAAGAUGACGAGGCGUAUUCAGAUGAAAGC